This 939-nucleotide ribosomal RNA is filed under the name uncultured Actinomycetes bacterium. RNAcentral describes it as "bacterial SSU rRNA". It matches the Rfam family "Bacterial small subunit ribosomal RNA", at positions 67 to 1012 of the family's 1533-position model. The record is from RNAcentral. Lineage: Bacteria; Bacillati; Actinomycetota; Actinomycetes.
CGCAUUCCCCUCCGGCAACGCGGGGUCUGACGGAGCGGCGAACGGGUGCGUAACACGUGACCAAUCUGCCCCGAAGAUCGGGAUAGCCCGGGGAAACCCGAGUUAAUACCGGAUGGCCUCAUCGGACCUCAUGGCCCGGUGAGUAAAGGCUCCGGCGCCUCGGGAUGAGGUCGCGUCCCAUCAGCUUGUUGGUGAGGUAACGGCUCACCAAGGCGACGACGGGUAGCUGGUCUGAGAGGACGAUCAGCCACACUGGAACUGAGACACGGUCCAGACUCCUAUGGGAGGCAGCAGCAGGGAAUCUUGCGCAAUGGGCGAAAGCCUGACGCAGCGACGCCGCGUGGGGGAUGAAGGCCUUCGGGUUGUAAACCCCUUUCACGAGGGAAGAAGAUGACGGUACCUCGAGAAGAAGCCCCGGCCAACUACGUGCCAGCAGCCGCGGUAAUACUGUAGGGGGCGAGCGUUGUCCGGAUUUAUUGGGCGUAAAGGGCUCGUAGGCGGCUUGACAAGUCGACCGUGAAAACCCAGGGCUCAACCCUGGAACGCCGGUCGAUACUGUCAUGGCUAGGGUCCGGUAGAGGGGAAUGGAAUUCCCGGUGUAGCGGUGAAAUGCGCAGAUAUCGGGAGGAACACCAGUUGCGAAGGCGGUUCCCUGGGCCGGCACCGACGCUGAGGAGCGAAAGCGUGGGGAGCAAACAGGAUUAGAUACCCUGGUAGUCCACGCCGUAAACGUUGGGUACUAGGCGUGGCGUCCUAUCAACGGAUGCCGUGCUCGAGCUAACGCGUUAAGUACCCCGCCUGGGGAGUACGGCCGCAAGGCUAAAACUCAAAGGAAUUGACGGGAGCCCGCACAAGCGGCGGAGCAUGCGGCUUAAUUCGAUGCAACCCGAAGAACCUUACCUGGACUUGACAUCACGGGAAAAACCCUGGAGACAGGGU